RNAcentral lists this long non-coding RNA (716 nucleotides) under Mytilus galloprovincialis (Mediterranean mussel). Lineage: Eukaryota; Metazoa; Mollusca; Bivalvia; Mytilida; Mytilidae. The record is from RNAcentral.
GUUGUAAUAAAACUUAUAUUUUAGUCAUGCAUAACUGAUAUUGACGAAUUUAGAAUAGUUCGUCCAUACAUCGUUGUUCUUGAAACAAUCAUUAUUAGUACAAGUACACACCCGUGAUAUCGCGGGUCCGUGACUGAAUUAAAGUAUAUAACUAUGCCUAAGCCUUAUUUUAGUAAUUGGUAUUGUCAUCUGAUAAAGUCAUGUCGAUUAUAAGAUACACAGUUUUCUCUGCUUUCAAAUCUUUCUGUUUGAACCCGUUGACCUGGAACUUAUCAAUUAUUGGAAAUGUUAAUUAUUUGGAAAACAAAAGGUCCAGGCUAUCCAGGAAUGGGGUAUUUUUUAAUCAACAGCAUUGUCCUAUAUUAAUUAUCUUAGAAAGUCUUGCUGAUUGCUGAAUAAAGCUACAAUAGGGAACAAUUUGACAAUGAUUGGAUUUAGUAGUGUCAGCCCUUUGAUUAUGACCCGUGUAUAUAGCAAAAGUUUGGUGGUGCGCCUGUCAAAUGCGGCAUGUACAGAUAAGGUAAUAGCUAACAGGUGAAUAUACUAUUGGUAUCGGUAUCGGAUUAGACCCGGAACUUGUUAAUUAUUGGCAAUAUUAAUUAUAUGGAAAACAAAAGGGUCCGAAGUGGUGUAAUUUUUAAUCUACACCAUUGUCCUAUAUUAGUUAUAUAUAGAGUUGAAUUCUUUGAUUUGUCGUUUUUACCCGAUGACGGCUG